This 667-nucleotide ribosomal RNA is filed under the name Thermoplasmata archaeon. RNAcentral's name for it is "bacterial SSU rRNA". It matches the Rfam family "Archaeal small subunit ribosomal RNA", at positions 815 to 1478 of the family's 1478-position model. The record is from RNAcentral. Lineage: Archaea; Methanobacteriati; Thermoplasmatota; Thermoplasmata.
UUAAGUCCACCGCCUGGGGAGUACGGUCGCAAGGCUGAAACUUAAAGGAAUUGGCGGGGGAGCACUGCAACGGGAGGAGCGUGCGGUUUAAUUGGAUUCAACGCCGGAAAACUCACCGGGGGAGACUGCCGUAUGUGGGCCAGGCUGAAGACCUUGCCCGAAUAAUAGGCAGAGAGGUGGUGCAUGGCCGCCGUCAGCUCGUACCGUAGGGCGUUCUGUUAAGUCAGGUAACGAGCAAGACCCCUGCCCUUAGUUGCUACUUGUUUCUCCGGAGACAAGGCACACUAGGGGGACCGCUGGCGCUAAGCCAGAGGAAGGAGGGGGCAACGGUAGGUCAGUAUGCCCUGAAUCCUUCGGGCUACACGCGCGCUACAAAGGCUGGGACAAUGGGUUGCCACCCCGAAAGGGGGAGCUAAUCUCUAAACCCAGUCGUAGUUCGGACCGAGGGCUGAAACUCGCCCUCGUGAAGGUGGAUUCCGUAGUAAUCGCGUAUCAACAUUGCGCGGUGAAUAUGCCCCUGCUCCUUGCACACACCGCCCGUCAAGCCAAGCGAGUUGGGUCCGGGUGAGGAUCUGUCGGCUUGAUAGAUUCAAACCUGGGUUCAGCGAGCGGGGCUAAGUCGUAACAAGGUAUCCGUAGGGGAACCUGCGGAUGGAUCACCUCCUUU